Molecule: small nucleolar RNA, 133 nt
Organism: Vombatus ursinus (common wombat)
Lineage: Eukaryota; Metazoa; Chordata; Mammalia; Diprotodontia; Vombatidae
Source: Ensembl
CCCGCCACUGCACCUGAUUCCAGUCUUAUGUUGGCUGGUGCAAUCCAGUGGUGAGCUGAGAGGAAAAACCCAGCUUAGGAAACAGGGUUAUUCUGCAUGUGGGUGACUCUGUGCCGAAAGCUUGGGAACAUGG